Molecule: ribosomal RNA, 685 nt
Filed under: uncultured bacterium
Lineage: Bacteria
Description: bacterial SSU rRNA
Rfam family: Bacterial small subunit ribosomal RNA
Source: RNAcentral
GCUGGCGGCGUGCCUACACAUGCAAGUCGAGCGAAGCACUUUACUUUGAUUCUUCGGAUGAAGAGUUUUGUGACUGAGCGGCGGACGGGUGAGUAACGCGUGGGUAACCUGCCUCAUACAGGGGGAUAACAGUUAGAAAUGUCUGCUAAUACCGCAUAAGACCACAGCAUCGCAUGGUGCAGGGGUAAAAACUCCGGUGGUAUGAGAUGGACCCGCGUCUGAUUAGCUAGUUGGUAAGGUAACGGCUUACCAAGGCAACGAUCAGUAGCCGACCUGAGAGGGUGACCGGCCACAUUGGGACUGAGACACGGCCCAAACUCCUACGGGAGGCAGCAGUGGGGAAUAUUGCACAAUGGGGGAAACCCUGAUGCAGCGACGCCGCGUGAGCGAAGAAGUAUUUCGGUAUGUAAAGCUCUAUCAGCAGGGGAAGAAACUGACGGUACCUGACUAAGAAGCACCGGCUAAAUACGUGCCAGCAGCCGCGGUAAUACGUAUGGUGCAAGCGUUAUCCGGAUUUACUGGGUGUAAAGGGGAGCGUAGACGGAUAGGCAAGUCUGGAGUGAAAGCCCGGGGCUCAACCCCGGGACUGCUUUGGAAACUGUUUAUCUAGAGUGCUGGAGAGGUAAGUGGAAUUCCUAGUGUAGCGGUGAAAUGCGUAGAUAUUAGGAGGAACACCAGUGGGCGA